Molecule: long non-coding RNA, 1007 nt
Organism: Gavia stellata (red-throated loon)
Lineage: Eukaryota; Metazoa; Chordata; Aves; Gaviiformes; Gaviidae
Exons: 5
Source: RefSeq, a predicted model, not a curated record
CCCAGUCGCUGAUAGGGCGGUGUGAGAAGCAGAAAAGGCCUUGACUCUGUGUAAGCCCUGCUGAGCAGUAACUAAAACAUCCCUGCUUUAUCAACACUGUUUCCAGCACAAAUCCAAAACACAGCCCCAUACUAGCUACUGUGAAGAAAAUUAACUCUACCCCAGCCAAAACCAGCACAGAAGGAAAAACAGUUUCAGACUUGCAAGGAGGAUGAUGCAAUUUGGGACUUCAGUUGGGCUCAUUAUAACUAUGCACAACAGUUAGCCUUUGCUGGCUGUGCACUUCGCAGCGACACAGGAAGCAAGAGUUUUUCUUGAGCAGAUGAGAGCUACUCGUUUAUGAGUUCCAAGUGAAGCAGCAUGGACCUGGUUGAUAUGGAGAAGCUCAAAAACCAUCUUGAUGUUCCUACAUGGGAUUAGAUCACCAAAAAAAAAAAAAAACAAACAACCAAACAAGAAAAAGCUGUGAAGGUACUGUGCUCUGGUAUAGAGUUGAAAUUGUUCUGCGAAACUCAUGAACCUCAAUUGGGGAUGAAGAAUAAAAGUGUUUGUGAAGGCUAUCACUCGAUGUUCUAAGUACUGGGCUUCUGGAAGCAUUCUAAAACUUAAUUUUGACAGGAUUAAUUUUUUAGUGGAAUCAUUCCAUGCUGUGUGUACUCUCAGAAAAAGAUUAUAUUCACAUAUGGUCAUGUAUGUGCACGCAUUCUCUAAUGACCACGUAAAUACACAAGGAUGGGGUCACCUGUGAAAAUCUCUCACGGUACUGUUUCUUUGGAACAUCUGCUAGCAAGACUGGGAAGGAAGCAGAUGACAAGUGACUUUUCGGUUAAUGUACUUAUACUUACAAGUCUAUGCCUUCAGAUAUUGGGAGACAGAAUCCAAAAUGUUUUGACUUCUUUUCCUCUUGACUUGACCUUGAAAUGUGUCUGGUAAAAUCUCCUAGAAGGAAAAACAAUCCAAGUUCCCUUAUUCCAAUGUGAAUUUUUCUUCCAAAUAAAACGUUUCAU